RNAcentral lists this ribosomal RNA (1086 nucleotides) under Triticum aestivum (bread wheat). Its description in RNAcentral is "partial small subunit ribosomal RNA". Lineage: Eukaryota; Viridiplantae; Streptophyta; Magnoliopsida; Poales; Poaceae. The record is from RNAcentral.
AUGGCGCACUGCGGCGGCGGUCAGGCGGCGUCCGUGGAGAGCCAUUUCCAGGGCCUGCUCGACGACGACGACAAGUACCGCGCAUUGUGCGGCGCCUUCGGGUACCUGCAGCAGCAGGAGUGGCCGGACCUCAGCGGCGCGUGCUACUCGGCGUUCGGCGCGCCGCCGCCGCCGGGUGCAGCGACGCAAGCGACCAGCAACGGCGCCGGCAACUCCUUCACCUGCAGCGGUAGCGCCAGCAGCGGCGGCGGGUCCGCGAAGAGAAAACCUGACGCGUAUGUGGACGCAAAGCUUUGCCAGGACGACUGCAAGAGGCCGAGAGGGAAGCAGCAGCUGUGCGAUCCUGGCGAGGCUGGAGGGGCGGCGAAAGGGAGGCCGGAGAAGCCCAAGGCGUGCGCCAGGAAGAAGCCGGAGCCGGCGGCCGCCGGCCAGAAGACCGACUACAUCCACGUCCGGGCCCGGCGCGGGCAGGCCACGGACAGCCACAGCCUCGCCGAACGGGUGAGGCGGGAGCGGAUCAGCGAGCGGAUGAGGUACCUGCAGGAGCUGGUGCCCGGCUGCGACAAGGUCACCGGCAAGGCCGGCAUGCUCGACGAGAUCAUCAACUACGUCCAGUCCCUGCAGAAGCAGGUCGAGUUCCUGUCCAUGAAGAUCGCCGCCUCCAACCCGGUGGUGAACUUCAACAUCGUCGACGACCUCUUCGGCGGCAGGCGGAUGAACCAGGCGUGCGGCCCCGCGGCGGCCCUGCCCGCCAUGACGCUGCCGAUGCACCAGGGGCAGCUGGACCCGUCCUGCCUUCAGAUGAGCAGCGCUACCAUGCAGCAGAUGCAACAGCCGGCUGCUGGGUUCGGGCUGGACAUGCUCGUCAGCAGCUCAUACCCGGCGGCGCAGAGCGCGCCCCCGUCGGCGGCUGCCACGCCGGUGUCGAUGUCGGCGUCGGCCACCGCGUCCGUCGAUUCAUGCCUCGACGUGAACGGAGCUGCUGCUUGGGACAUUGCGUCUCAGCAUUUGUUCAGUGGGUUCGACGCACAGUUUCAGUCAGUUCAAAGUGACUGUUUGCUAGACAACCUCAAAAUGGAAUUGUAA